Leguminivora glycinivorella is the source of this 752-nucleotide long non-coding RNA. RefSeq lists it as uncharacterized. The record is from RefSeq and is a predicted model, not a curated record. The transcript has 4 exons. NCBI's taxonomy places the organism in Eukaryota, Metazoa, Arthropoda, Insecta, Lepidoptera, Tortricidae.
UUAGAUCGUGGUAACUUCAUUAGGAACCGCACGACUUAGUCGAGAGGUCCCUGCAAAAUAAAGUGAGAAGUGGAAUAUUCAAAUGAAAUUAUACAGAACGAAAUUGCUUCGCAACUUUCCGUAUUAAAAUCUGUGAACUAAUAAGGACGGUCCAGUAAUUUUGAUAGCCUGUGGAAGUUUUAUUUGUACCCUUUGGCUAUAAAAGCUUUGGUGGUUUUUUGCGGACUUCAUUAAAGAGCUGACCCUUUCGCGGAACGUCUGAAUAUCAGGAACCUAAACAACAGUCAAGUAUUCAAGAUGGUUGGAAGGCUCCUCCUAGCGUUACUGGUGGCCUGCGGCUCUAACUUCGCAUCCACACACAUCGUGACGUCAGCACACUCAGACCUCGCGUUUCUGAGCUGCGUGAGCACCUUGACUCACACCGUACAGACCGCUCUGUGUCCUAUGUAUGGGCAAAUCGGGGAGUAUUCUAUGGAGGUCAUGCAACCCGCUUUGGACCCUCGAGAGGCGGAGACCAGAAGCUGGCAGUUUCGGAACAACAUGAAGAGAUGCUGUACGAGGCCUUGCAGCAUAUCCGAGCUAGUCGCUAUGUGUUAGACGAAUGAGAUGACGUGUUCAUUUGUAUGAAGACAUCGGAAUAGUGACCGGAUCGCGGGCGUGUCGUAUGCAACGCAGUUACCUAUGUACCUUCGAUUUAUUCAAUGCAGCGCAGUGUAUUCAAUAAAUAUAGUUUUUGUAGUUGUAAGUCUUAA